AUUGAACGCUGGCGGCAUGCCUUACACAUGCAAGUCGAACGGCAGCACGGGAGCAAUCCUGGUGGCGAGUGGCGAACGGGUGAGUAAAGUAUCGGAACGUGCCCAGUCGUGGGGGAUAACGUAGCGAAAGUUACGCUAAUACCGCAUACGAUCUAUGGAUGAAAGCGGGGGAUCGCAAGACCUCGCGCGAUUGGAGCGGCCGAUAUCAGAUUAGGUAGUUGGUGGGGUAAAGGCUCACCAAGCCCACGAUCUGUAGCUGGUCUGAGAGGACGAACAGCCACACUGGGACUGAGACACGGCCCAGACUCCUACGGGAGGCAGCAGUGGGGAAUUUUGGACAAUGGGCGAAAGCCUGAUCCAGCCAUGCCGCGUGCAGGAUGAAGGCCUUCGGGUUGUAAACUGCUUUUGUACGGAACGAAAAGGUUUGGCCUAAUAAGCUGAGCUCAUGACGGUACCGUAAGAAUAAGCACCGGCUAACUACGUGCCAGCCGCCGCUGUAA
RNAcentral lists this ribosomal RNA (500 nucleotides) under uncultured bacterium. Its description in RNAcentral is "partial 16S ribosomal RNA". It matches the Rfam family "Bacterial small subunit ribosomal RNA", at positions 30 to 523 of the family's 1533-position model. The record is from RNAcentral.